This 385-nucleotide long non-coding RNA is filed under the name Rattus norvegicus (Norway rat). RNAcentral describes it as "long non-coding RNA NONRATT001704". Lineage: Eukaryota; Metazoa; Chordata; Mammalia; Rodentia; Muridae. The record is from RNAcentral.
UCCGCAAAGUCCCAUCGCUUCUCCAGGUGCCAGAGGCCUCCCGAGUGUCGGCAGUGGCGCCAUCCCGCUGGGAUCCGCGCCUCCAGUGCAUACCAUGUGUUCUCUUCGACGGUCGCAGUCGCACACUAGGUGCCUGGAGCCUCUGGGAGCGCGGGCGGCGGAGGAGCCCCGGGGCGGAGGGUCCCUAGAGCUCCGCGGCCCGUGCGUCUCGGGGGCGGGAGCUGGGCCGGCGGGGGCGGGUCAGGGCGGGGGCGGAGGCGAGUCCGAGGCCCGCGCCAUUGGCCGCAGGGCCUGGCGGCAGGAAGGGACCGAGUGCGGCCCCACCCCGCGGCGGCCAGAGCCUAUCGCCGGGAGCGCAGAGCGCAAAUAAAUGUAGCGCGGCCGC